This 470-nucleotide ribosomal RNA is filed under the name uncultured Pseudomonadota bacterium. RNAcentral describes it as "bacterial SSU rRNA". It matches the Rfam family "Bacterial small subunit ribosomal RNA", at positions 8 to 522 of the family's 1533-position model. The record is from RNAcentral. Lineage: Bacteria; Pseudomonadati; Pseudomonadota.
AGAGUUUGAUCAUGGCUCAGAGCGAACGCUGGCGGCAGGCUUAACACAUGCAAGUCGAGCGGGCGUAGCAAUACGUCAGCGGCAGACGGGUGAGUAACGCGUGGGAACGUACCUUUUGGUUCGGAACAACACAGGGAAACUUGUGCUAAUACCGGAUAAGCCCUUACGGGGAAAGAUUUAUCGCCGAAAGAUCGGCCCGCGUCUGAUUAGCUAGUUGGUGAGGUAACGGCUCACCAAGGCGACGAUCAGUAGCUGGUCUGAGAGGAUGAUCAGCCACAUUGGGACUGAGACACGGCCCAAACUCCUACGGGAGGCAGCAGUGGGGAAUAUUGGACAAUGGGCGCAAGCCUGAUCCAGCCAUGCCGCGUGAGUGAUGAAGGCCCUAGGGUUGUAAAGCUCUUUUGUGCGGGAAGAUAAUGACGGUACCGCAAGAAUAAGCCCCGGCUAACCUCGUGCCAGCAGCCGCGGGA